Long non-coding RNA from Columba livia (rock pigeon), 2135 nucleotides. RefSeq lists it as uncharacterized. The transcript has 2 exons. NCBI's taxonomy places the organism in Eukaryota, Metazoa, Chordata, Aves, Columbiformes, Columbidae. The record is from RefSeq and is a predicted model, not a curated record.
CCCAUCGGCCGUUGGGAACGGGCGGGGCGCGUUAGUUCCCCCGUGGCGGCGGGAGGCGAUUGCUGCUGCCCGAGGAGCCAGGACGGAGCGGCUCGGGCCCCGCCACCGCCGCACCCGGCUUCACGGGGCCGGCAAAGCUCUGAAAUGACUGCUUCCCUCUCCCCAGCGGGACGGCGCUUCCUGCAGCCCCGGCCUCCCUCUCGUGCUGCCCGCAGAGGGGCCUGCGUCCCGGCCUCACACAGAAUCACAGAGUGUUACGGAUUGGAAGGGACCUAAGAUCACCUAGUCCCAUCCCCCUGCCGGCGCAGGAACACUUGGAUGAGGCUACACAAUAAUGCAUCCAGGGUGACCACUCCUCUAGGCCUGGCUUUCCCACUGCCUGCUUCUUGCAUUACUUGGCCCUGACAGCUGGGACCUGCAUUGUUCUCAUUGAAGGCCUGACCUUGCUUACUUAGUCCCUACAGGCACAGAACUGAUCACCUAAAAAAGGUCAAAGUAUCGAUAAUCAGUAACUUCUUGAUUCUGUGCAGGCAACAGCUUUUGCUACAUUAUUGCUUGUCCAGGAAAACAGCUACUGCUAGUGAGCGUUGCCUUCCACCUUUCUGCAAGGCAGCAAGCUUCUUGCUCCUCAUUAUUUGAAUAUAUGCAAAGGAAACAGUAUAGGUUAUAUCUUUGAAGGAAAGACUUAAUUCUCAUUAACAAGCUUCUCAGUGUACCUAUAUAAAAUUUAGACACAGCAGAGCAAGCUCAGAAUAUACUAAUUACAUGUGAUAAAUGCUUAUUUCUGUCAGGGUACACAUGAUGCAGUUAACUGUUUAAAAGUCUGCUCCUUAUAGCACACGCAAUAACCUGAAACAAGCUUAAACCUGAAAUAAGCAACACUGCUUUCCUUAGAAGGGCACAAGAUUUCAACAAAAGAGCUAUAAAGGGCACACUUAAGACACAGUUGACACCUGAUCAAGAGACUGGAUAGUUUUUCAUUCUGGUGACAAGCCACUCAUAUAUUACUGUCUACUUCUGAGUUUGUAGAAGGUCACACCGUGUCUUCAUGGAUGCAGUGACACGCAGGAACAUCAGUGUAGUGUGUAAGGAAGUUGGUUCAUUCUGCCUGUUACAAGUCACUAAAAGCUCACUGAAUUAUUUAUGUGGCUUUUAGGGAAGGAAAUGUCUAUCUUAGCUAUGAUCAAUGUCCUAAACUUUCAGUAUUUAUCAAGAACUUGCUAGUGCUACUGAAUGCUCACAGAGGUUUAAAACCAACAGUGUCUACAUGGGGGUUCAGAUGCACUGCAGGUCCAUACUCUUGGUGAAAGAUCUGAAAAUUUUAAGGAACAGGCCACUACAUGAUGACAUCUAGAAGACUUCUUUUAGAUGAAAACUUAAGCAUCUCAAAUAUUUGGAAUACCACUUUGAAAGCACGCAUUAUCUGAUAUACAAAGUAUACUCUAAAAUGUAAGCCUGGAAAAUAGGUGUUCUUGGCAGGUGAGCAUAUGGAAGUUCCGCUCUGUAGAGAGAGAAGGCUGAAUGGUAGUUUUGGGAACCCCUACUUUCCUUGGUGUUCCUGUUCAGCAGCAGGCCCUUUUCCAUUGUAAGGAGAUCUCUAUCUCAGUUUUUGCUUCCCCACUAACAUGGCAGCACCAGGUAACAAUAAAGCAUCAGGCAGCUGGCAGCCACAAGUAAGCAGCACAUGGCUUAGGGCAGCAUGUGCUGCUUGCACCAUUUCUCAUCUCCUGGUAGGGAGAGGGUGAAUGAGAGUAUUCUGCAUGCUGGAUUCAUGCUGUCAACAAGAAUGUGGUAUCCUGUAUAAGUGAUUUUUUGAAGUGCCAUUGUUAGUCAAGAUGUCUUUCAUUCUCUCAAUGAAGAGUCUGCUUGUUACACAUACCUGACACACGAAGUCCGUGACUAUUCUGUGAAAUCUGGAAUUCUUGAAUCCAAAUCCUUUCUCUCCUGUGCACAGGGCUCUGAAAUUUUCCGCAGUUCGAGGGACAAUAUUUGAAAAUAGCUCCAUAGUUAUGUGCCCUAAAGGUUCAUCAUCAGCAGAAACUUCAAAAUACACAACGGGAUUGGUGUCCUUUGACAGUCCUGCUGCCAGAGAUAGAUGUCCCUUCUGUAGUUCUGACAAGCUUAGCUGGCAUUCU